ACGUCACAAAAACAUAAUUUUUAUAAUUUUCAAAUUUUGAUCACAUAACAUGAAAGAUCUUCAUAAAAUACUCCCAUAUAUGGAAAAUCAGUUAAAUUGAUCAAAAAUCGGGUGAGCUAUGGCCAAUAGAAGAUUUCAGCCAAUUUGUAAUACUUUUAACUAUAUUUGCAGAUUUAGGGGUAUUUCAUGAUGCUCUUUCAGGUUAUGGGAAAAAAUUCUAAAAAUAUAUUUUUGUGACGUUAUCACUUGACAACUCUAUUGCAAAUCCACUAAUCGUUAACGACAGAAAAUGCCUUGAAUUGUUUCUCUACUGUCAUUUGGCACCAUUUUGGGAUUAUGCACAGGUUUAAAUUUCUUCAAACAAAGAGCGGCUAAAAUUGCGAAUUUUUAAGAAGGAUAGCCCUUCUGACCACUCCAAAGGGAAAUAAACUCAAGUACAGGUCAUAAAAUGAGAUUCUAGAAAGCCUAUAAACUGAACUGUACAUGAACAAUGCACGAAGAUUCUAUGUCUUUUAUUUUUACACUCCUGGUUUAAUACCAUUUCAAGUUCUUGUGGCCGAAUCAGAAACAAAUUAUUCGCCUUUUUGGUCCGCAUUUUAAGCUUCGCCUGAAUAGAACAAUAUCAUUUGUCUCUAAUUCACGUGAGUAAUUGAUGACGAACAAAAACGCCAACAGGACACUUCCAAUUGUUCAAAAGCUUUUGUUUUUCCUGGCAAAUAAUCUAGGACAUGGUGAUUUGGAGCACGGGCCAUCUUCCAAAUAAUACGAGGAAAUAAAACUGCAGACACAAGUGCAACAUCCCAGACAGAGACAUUAGUUGUAUACCUUAUUAAGCACAUGUGAUGUCCGGACACUACCAUACACCGGUUAACCUUCAGGAAAAAUGACGGGGUGUGACCGAGGGACAAAUCACUCCAAGAAUAUCUCGUACACUUUUUGUGAAAAUCCUAUUGUUUUAUCUGAAAAUCCCUGGAAAUCCUUUUGUAUUAGGGAAAAUCUCGUACGCUAUUUGCAAGAGUGAAUUGCCCCUCUGGUGUGCCUGCCAGAAAACAUAUUAUGACCCUGUCCUGAAAUGAAAUUCUGAAGACAUGAUACCUGGAAACAUGAUUUCUUCAAUUGGCAUACCAAUGCCGGAAAAUAUAAAUUAGAGAAAAGAUAUAAUACUGUCUUAGAAUUUUCAGCUGAAAAUGACACCCUGAUGGCAGGCAGGGACAUCCCAGUAUAGUCAGUGUAUUAAGUGAACCCAAAGAUUAGAAACAAAAAAAAACACGUAAGGCUGAAAUUAUGCAGAAAAUUGGAAACGCCAGGUAGAAACUGGAGCCAAGUGUUUGUAUAAAAAGCCAUUAGUAUGGAUCUUACCCUGCCAAAUUGAGAUAGAACUGCCCGAAUGUGAUCUGAAAGAGGGUCUGAAAUGCGACAAAUUUUGACUGAUUAGAGGAGCUGUAGUCCUACCAGCGCCUAUCGGUAAACUGUUGUGAAACAGUGAACACCUCAAGCCCCUGUGCUAAAAAACCCUGGGAUAUCACCUAUCAAUAAACCUCCUUUAACCCUCACUGACUGUGUUUCUUGAAAUUGGCAUUUGAAACCAUUAUUUUAGUGUAUUGCACACCUUUCAAAGAAACUUAGACUGGGGACAUGGGACAAUUGCAAUGGUAAAACAAGAGCUUCGCCUCCAAUUUUUGGCAAACACAUCAAGGCUUUUCUUAUUUCAAUCCAUAAUCAUUUAGUGAUUGCAACAAUGUAGUGAGGCUCGGCGAAGCUCCUCCCGUUCAAAUUACCGCAGGCCUCAAAAGAUCUUUGUCCCACAGUGGGCAGCACCGGCAGCACUGAUCAGUGACAGGCAGUCAUUCUAAAGUCAUUAGCUCAGCCUCUCAUUAAUAGAAAUCAGCCUCUCAUUAACAUUAACGUAGGGACGUCAAUGAGGGACGUAUUUGCGGAUGACCGCAAACUUAAUGAAAGGUUUUUGCCAAGUGAGGGCAGAAAACUGCGGAUUUUUUUGUAAAGAAGGAACCUUAAAAAACUUUUAAUACUCAAAAGGAAUCAGAUAUAAAGAAACUUGAAAAUUGAGAUGCUAGGUUUCCUAUAAAAACUUGUAGUCUAAUUUUUGUCUUCCUUUAAGCAAAAUGCAAAAAGUUAAUCAGAGUUACAAACAAUCGAAAGACAGAUAUAUAAUCUAUAAUUGAAAUUGCAAUAGGCUGGUUUUUUUGUUUUAAAUUUCUUUCAAAUGAUAGGGUGGCUGCAGAGUAUGUGUCUUUUCUUAUGAAAUUAAAAGUUGGUUUGGAAAUGGGCUGUUGUUAUUUUGAAUUUCAAGUACGAAUUAGGACUACUAGAGCAUCAAGACAAAUCGUUUAAAAAUACAAGUUGUUCCCGCUUUGUAAUUUUCUCCGAAAGUACCACUUUCUGGAAGCUGGGCGCAUACAUACAUACAUACAUACGGCGCUGUUUGCAAGAAAACAAAAAACUGUUUGCAUCUAACUUUCUGAAUCCAUCGAAGCUUUAAAAUUUCCUUUUU
Molecule: long non-coding RNA, 2512 nt
Organism: Rhopilema esculentum
Lineage: Eukaryota; Metazoa; Cnidaria; Scyphozoa; Rhizostomeae; Rhizostomatidae
Source: RefSeq, a predicted model, not a curated record